UAAAAACCCGAACCCGAACCCGACUCCGAACCCGAGACCCGAACCCGACGGAUUUUAAAAAUUCAUAUCUAAACCCGAACACGACCAAAAAUUCGAAACCCGAACCCGAACCCAAACCCGAAAAUUUGAACCCGAAACAAUUAUUUCUUUUUUCAAUAUUUCAAAAUAUAUUAUAUUAAAUCUAAAUUUUUAAAAAACAAAUUUAAAUAUAACAUCAAAUUUAUAUAUAUAUAUAUAUAUAUAUAUAUAUAUAUAUA
This 257-nucleotide long non-coding RNA is filed under the name Ananas comosus (pineapple). Its description in RNAcentral is "long non-coding RNA (ACOM_LNC012247)". The record is from RNAcentral. Lineage: Eukaryota; Viridiplantae; Streptophyta; Magnoliopsida; Poales; Bromeliaceae.